RNAcentral lists this ribosomal RNA (497 nucleotides) under uncultured bacterium. Its description in RNAcentral is "partial 16S ribosomal RNA". It matches the Rfam family "Bacterial small subunit ribosomal RNA", at positions 28 to 507 of the family's 1533-position model. The record is from RNAcentral.
GAUGAACGCUGGCGACGUGCCUAAUACAUGCAAGUAGAACGCUGAAGCUUGGUGCUUGCCCCGAGCGGAUGAGUUGCGAACGGGUGAGUAACGCGUAGGUAACCUGCCUCUUAGCGGGGGAUAACUAUUGGAAACGAUAGCUAAUACCGCAUAAAAGUCGAUAUCGCAUGAUAUUGAUUUGAAAGGUGCAAUUGCAUCACUAAGAGAUGGACCUGCGUUGUAUUAGCUAGUUGGUGAGGUAACGGCUCACCAAGGCGACGAUACAUAGCCGACCUGAGAGGGUGAUCGGCCACACUGGGACUGAGACACGGCCCAGACUCCUACGGGAGGCAGCAGUAGGGAAUCUUCGGCAAUGGGGGCAACCCUGACCGAGCAACGCCGCGUGAGUGAAGAAGGUUUUCGGAUCGUAAAGCUCUGUUGUAAGAGAAGAACGAGUGUGAGAGUGGAAAGUUCACACUGUGACGGUAACUUAACAGAAAGGGACGGCUAACUACGUG